GAGGAAUAUUGGUCAAUGGACGAGAGUCUGAACCAGCCAAGUAGCGUGAGGGAUGACUGCCCUAUGGGUUGUAAACUUCUUUUAUACGGGAAUAAAGUUAGCCACGUGUGGCUUUUUGUAUGUACCGUAUGAAUAAGGAUCGGCUAACUCCGUGCCAGCAGCCGCGGUAAUACGGAGGAUCCGAGCGUUAUCCGGAUUUAUUGGGUUUAAAGGGAGCGUAGGCGGGUUGUUAAGUCAGUUGUGAAAGUUUGCGGCUCAACCGUAAAAUUGCAGUUGAUACUGGCGACCUUGAGUGCAACAGAGGUAGGCGGAAUUCGUGGUGUAGCGGUGAAAUGCUUAGAUAUCACGAAGAACUCCGAUUGCGAAGGCAGCUUACUGGAUUGUAACUGACGCUGAUGCUCGAAAGUGUGGGUAUCAAACAGGAUUAGAUACCCUGGUAGUCCACACAGUAAACGAUGAAUACUCGCUGUUGGCGAUAUACGGUCAGCGGCCAAGCGAAAGCAUUAAGUAUUCCACCUGGGGAGUACGCCGGCAACGGUGAAACUCAAAGGAAUUGACGGGGGCCCGCACAAGCGGAGGAACAUGUGGUUUAAUUCGAUGAUACGCGAGGAACCUUACCCGGGCUUAAAUUGCAACUGACUGAACCGGAAACGGUUCUUUCUUCGGACAGUUGUGAAGGUGCUGCAUGGUUGUCGUCAGCUCGUGCCGUGAGGUGUCGGCUUAAGUGCCAUAACGAGCGCAACCCUUAUCGAUAGUUACUAGCAGGUCAUGCUGAGGACUCUAUUGAGACUGCCGUCGUAAGAUGUGAGGAAGGUGGGGAUGACGUCAAAUCAGCACGGCCCUUACGUCCGGGGCUACACACGUGUUACAAUGGGGGGUACAGAAGGCAGCUACACGGCGACGUGGUGCUAAUCCCGAAAGCCUCUCUCAGUUCGGAUUGGAGUCUGCAACCCGACUCCAUGAAGCUGGAUUCGCUAGUAAUCGCGCAUCAGCCACGGCGCGGUGAAUACGUUCCCG
RNAcentral lists this ribosomal RNA (1017 nucleotides) under uncultured organism. RNAcentral describes it as "bacterial SSU rRNA". It matches the Rfam family "Bacterial small subunit ribosomal RNA", at positions 356 to 1376 of the family's 1533-position model. The record is from RNAcentral.